This 1098-nucleotide ribosomal RNA is filed under the name Bacillus altitudinis. RNAcentral describes it as "bacterial SSU rRNA". It matches the Rfam family "Bacterial small subunit ribosomal RNA", at positions 36 to 1103 of the family's 1533-position model. The record is from RNAcentral. Lineage: Bacteria; Bacillati; Bacillota; Bacilli; Caryophanales; Bacillaceae.
CCGGGGCGGCGUGCCUAUACAUGCAAGUCGAGCGGACAGAAGGGAGCUUGCUCCCGGAUGUUAGCGGCGGACGGGUGAGUAACACGUGGGUAACCUGCCUGUAAGACUGGGAUAACUCCGGGAAACCGGAGCUAAUACCGGAUAGUUCCUUGAACCGCAUGGUUCAAGGAUGAAAGACGGUUUCGGCUGUCACUUACAGAUGGACCCGCGGCGCAUUAGCUAGUUGGUGAGGUAACGGCUCACCAAGGCGACGAUGCGUAGCCGACCUGAGAGGGUGAUCGGCCACACUGGGACUGAGACACGGCCCAGACUCCUACGGGAGGCAGCAGUAGGGAAUCUUCCGCAAUGGACGAAAGUCUGACGGAGCAACGCCGCGUGAGUGAUGAAGGUUUUCGGAUCGUAAAGCUCUGUUGUUAGGGAAGAACAAGUGCAAGAGUAACUGCUUGCACCUUGACGGUACCUAACCAGAAAGCCACGGCUAACUACGUGCCAGCAGCCGCGGUAAUACGUAGGUGGCAAGCGUUGUCCGGAAUUAUUGGGCGUAAAGGGCUCGCAGGCGGUUUCUUAAGUCUGAUGUGAAAGCCCCCGGCUCAACCGGGGAGGGUCAUUGGAAACUGGGAAACUUGAGUGCAGAAGAGGAGAGUGGAAUUCCACGUGUAGCGGUGAAAUGCGUAGAGAUGUGGAGGAACACCAGUGGCGAAGGCGACUCUCUGGUCUGUAACUGACGCUGAGGAGCGAAAGCGUGGGGAGCGAACAGGAUUAGAUACCCUGGUAGUCCACGCCGUAAACGAUGAGUGCUAAGUGUUAGGGGUUUCCGCCCCUUAGUGCUGGCAGCUAACGCAUUAAGCACUCCGCCUGGGGGAGUACGGUCGCAAGACUGAAACUUCAAAGGAGUUGACGAGGGGGCCCGCACGAAGCGGCUGUAGCAUGUGGUUUAUUUCGUAAGCACGCGGAGAACAUUACUAGUCGUGGACAUGCUCUGACAGACCUACAGAUAGUCUUUGUCCUUUCGGUGACGGACUGAACAGAUGGUGCAUGCUGUCGUCAGUCUCCUGUCGUGACAUGAUGUGUGUUAGUUCUGCAAACCAGCGUCGAACC